CGCAAGCCUGAUCUAGCCAUGCCCGUGUGUGAUGAAGGUCUUAGGAUCGUAAAGCACUUUCGCCAGGGAUGAUAAUGACAGUACCUGGUAAAGAAACCCCGGCUAACUCCGUGCCAGCAGCCGCGGUAAUACGGAGGGGGUUAGCGUUGUUCGGAAUUACUGGSCGUAAAGCGUACGUAGGCGGAUUGGAAAGUUGGGGGUGAAAUCCCAGGGCUCAACCCUGGAACUGCCUCCAAAACUAUCAGUCUAGAGUUCGAGAGAGGUGAGUGGAAUUSCAAGUGUAGAGGUGAAAUUCGUAGAUAUUUGGAGGAACACCAGUGGCGAAGACGGCUCACUGGCUCGAUACUGACGCUGAGGUACGAAAGUGUGGGGAGCAMACAGGAUUAGAUACCCUGGUAGUCCACACCGUAAACGAUGAAUGCCAGUCGUCGGGCAGUAUACUGUUCGGWGACACACCUAACGGAUUAAGCAUUCCGGCUGGGG
This 483-nucleotide ribosomal RNA is filed under the name uncultured Alphaproteobacteria bacterium. Its description in RNAcentral is "bacterial SSU rRNA". It matches the Rfam family "Bacterial small subunit ribosomal RNA", at positions 376 to 878 of the family's 1533-position model. Lineage: Bacteria; Pseudomonadati; Pseudomonadota; Alphaproteobacteria. The record is from RNAcentral.